GUCCUUGGGAGGGGAACACCUGCUGGAAACGGCUGCUAAUACCCCAUAGGCUGAGGAGCAAAAGGAGGAAUCCGCCCAAGGAGGGGCUCGCGUCUGAGAGUUAGUUGGUGAGGCAUUGGCUUACCAAGGCCACGAUCAGUCCCUGGUCCGAGAGGAUGAUCAGCCACACUGGGACUGAGACACGGCCCAUACUCCUACGGGAGGCAG
This 207-nucleotide ribosomal RNA is filed under the name uncultured Alphaproteobacteria bacterium. Its description in RNAcentral is "partial 16S ribosomal RNA". It matches the Rfam family "Bacterial small subunit ribosomal RNA", at positions 128 to 351 of the family's 1533-position model. The record is from RNAcentral. Lineage: Bacteria; Pseudomonadati; Pseudomonadota; Alphaproteobacteria.